RNAcentral lists this ribosomal RNA (809 nucleotides) under uncultured Boletaceae. Its description in RNAcentral is "eukaryotic LSU rRNA". The stretch from base 173 to 327 matches the Rfam family "5.8S ribosomal RNA". The record is from RNAcentral. Lineage: Eukaryota; Fungi; Basidiomycota; Agaricomycetes; Boletales; Boletaceae.
AUGGGGACUGUCNCUGGCUUUUUGGGGGAACCCGUGAGCAUGUGCACGUCUUCGUUUUCUCUCGUCUCUACUUUACACUCUACACCUGUGCACUAUUGUAGGUCCUCGCAAGGGGAUCUAUGUCUUCUUAUCACACUUUAUCGUAUGGCCAGAAUGUAUUUAAAUCAAUUACAACUUUCAGCAACGGAUCUCUUGGCUCUCGCAUCGAUGAAGAACGCAGCGAAUCGCGAUAAGUAAUGUGAAUUGCAGAUUUUCAGUGAAUCAUCNAAUCUUUGAACGCACCUUGCGCUCCUUGGUAUUCCGAGGAGCAUGCCUGUUUGAGUGUCAUUUUCAUUCUCAAUCAAGGCUANAUUCAUUUCUAGACUUGACUUGGACUUGGGGGUUGCUGGCGGCCUUUGUGGCUAUCAGCUCUUCUGAAAUGCAUUANCGUGGGCGUAGCAAGUUUUAAAUGACGUAACGGCUCUGGAUGUGAUAAUGAUCGUCCUUGGCUGGAGCGUCUGGAGGGACUUGCAGACUGNGUCCGUGCUUCUAAAACCUAAUCGAACGAGUUUCAUUCAUGAUGUCUGUCCGCUUAGUUACUANUUGGACCCANCGAACACAAGGACUCGAGGGCUUANUUAUUANUCGGUCUUCUGGCGAACACNANCACUCGGGCACUUAGUUAUUAGUUGGUUGUCUGGCGAAACACAAACACUGGCUGGUUGGGUCAGCCUGGCGAACGCGAUCGCGUUCGAGCACUUAGUUAUUAGUUGGUUUCUGGCGAACACAAAGGACUGGGAGUGGUUUANCUAUUAGCUGGGUCAGCCUGG